AUUUAGGUAGUUUAAUAAAAAUGUUGAUUUGUGGUAUCAAGGUUGUAAUAAAUUUGUUACCCUAGAUU
RNAcentral lists this transfer RNA (68 nucleotides) under Geoscapheus dilatatus. Its description in RNAcentral is "tRNA-His". The record is from RNAcentral. Lineage: Eukaryota; Metazoa; Arthropoda; Insecta; Blattodea; Blaberidae.